GGACGCAUGGCCCAGUGGUAAGGCGCUCGCCUUCGAUGCGGGAUGAGCAGCUUUCCUCGAGAGCGAGAGAUCGUCGGUUCGACCCCGGCUGCGUUCA
This is a transfer RNA of Puccinia graminis f. sp. tritici, 97 nucleotides long. It matches the Rfam family "tRNA". Rfam says of the family: Transfer RNA (tRNA) molecules are approximately 80 nucleotides in length. NCBI's taxonomy places the organism in Eukaryota, Fungi, Basidiomycota, Pucciniomycetes, Pucciniales, Pucciniaceae. The record is from Rfam.